RNAcentral lists this ribosomal RNA (200 nucleotides) under uncultured bacterium. RNAcentral describes it as "partial 16S ribosomal RNA". It matches the Rfam family "Bacterial small subunit ribosomal RNA", at positions 1301 to 1500 of the family's 1533-position model. The record is from RNAcentral.
AAGGCUGAAAUUCGCCUUCAUGAAGCCGGAAUUGCUAGUAAUGGCAGGUCAGCAUACUGCCGUGAAUACGUUCCCGGGCCUUGUACACACCGCCCGUCAAACCAUGAGAGUUGGCAACACCCGAAGUCGGUAGUCUAACCGCAAGGAGGACGCCGCCGAAGGUGGGGUUGAUGAUUAGGGUUAAGUCGUAACAAGGUAAC